AACGUACCCCGGAGUGGGGGAUAACGCCGCGAAAGCGGCGCUAAUACCGCAUAUGCUCUGAGGAGGAAAGUGGGGGAUUCGCAAGAACCUCACGCUCUGGGAGCGGCCGAUGUCCGAUUAGCUUGUUGGUGAGGUAAUGGCUCACCAAGGCGACGAUCGGUAGCUGGUCUGAGAGGAUGAUCAGCCACACUGGGACUGAGACACGGCCCAGACUCCUACGGGAGGCAGCAGUGGGGAAUUUUGGACAAUGGGGGCAACCCUGAUCCAGCCAUGCCGCGUGCGG
Molecule: ribosomal RNA, 283 nt
Filed under: uncultured bacterium
Lineage: Bacteria
Description: partial 16S ribosomal RNA
Rfam family: Bacterial small subunit ribosomal RNA
Source: RNAcentral